GCUUCGUUAGCUCAGUUGGCAGAGCGUCAGUCUCAUAAUCUGAAGGUCGUGAGUUCGAGCCUCACACGGAGCA
Molecule: transfer RNA, 73 nt
Filed under: Coemansia erecta
Lineage: Eukaryota; Fungi; Kickxellomycota; Kickxellomycetes; Kickxellales; Kickxellaceae
Also listed under: 1 other name
Description: tRNA-Met
Rfam family: tRNA
About the family: Transfer RNA (tRNA) molecules are approximately 80 nucleotides in length.
Source: RNAcentral